RNAcentral lists this long non-coding RNA (217 nucleotides) under Bos taurus (domestic cattle). Its description in RNAcentral is "long non-coding RNA NONBTAT008970". Lineage: Eukaryota; Metazoa; Chordata; Mammalia; Artiodactyla; Bovidae. The record is from RNAcentral.
CCUAUCUCAAAAAUUUAUUUUAGUAGAUUCAGUUCUAUAAGGUAUAUUUUCUUGUGUUUUCUUGACUAUUGUAAGUGUUUUUCUCUGUAUUCUGAAUAGGUCCAGUACUGGCCAGAGCCUCCAGUCAUAAAAUGUAAAUGUCCCUCAUGGUGGAAAUCAGUCCAGCAGCUUUGGCAAAUGGUAGAUAAAUUAAAAUGCAAAGUCAUUACGGGUACUG